GUGUUACAGCAGCGUUGCAGAUUCACUUGGCCUGGAGCUGAGAGAGAAGCAGAAGGAUCAAGCACGUCGACAACGCCUCCAAAGACACAUGGACAACCUGAAACCGAGGAGAUCGGUAACCGGCAGACAGUCUGCUGCACAUAGCACUGCCGUACUGUACAGCACGGAGGUCUCCUACUUCCCCUCUGUGUUUCUGCUGACUCCGCUGAGCCGUCCUCACCGGUGCUCCCUGGAAAGAAGUUUAAGGUUGAAGGUUGUUGUUGCUGGGCGUGAAGCCCCAGCCCUCCUUCACCCCUCUGCUCGUCGAGAAAGACCCUGAAACAGCCUCUCCCUGCAGGGCUAGAGGGGCCAAAUGUAGACAUAAAAAUCCAGCUUCUGAUUCCAUCCAAGGUUUUACACAUCAGGACCACCCUCUCCCACAUGCUCCAGAUGUCUGCGGUAAGGGAAUCGUGUCAGACAUGAAGUAGCUGAAACAUCUCUCAGCCUGCCUGCCUCCCUCCCUUCAUUCAGUCAGCAAUACAGAAGCAAGCAGCUUUCAAGCGGUUAUUCUGUUAUGAUAAAUUGAAA
This is a long non-coding RNA of Acipenser ruthenus (sterlet), 567 nucleotides long. RefSeq lists it as uncharacterized. NCBI's taxonomy places the organism in Eukaryota, Metazoa, Chordata, Actinopteri, Acipenseriformes, Acipenseridae. The transcript has 3 exons. The record is from RefSeq and is a predicted model, not a curated record.